AUGAACGCUGGCGGCAGGCCUAACACAUGCAAGUCGAACGGUAGCACAGAGAGCUUGCUYUCGGGUGACGAGUGGCGGACGGGUGAGUAAUGUCUGGGAAACUGCCUGAUGGAGGGGGAUAACUACUGGAAACGGUAGCUAAUACCGCAUAACGUCGCAAGACCAAAGAGGGGGACCUUCGGGCCUCUUGCCAUCAGAUGUGCCCAGAUGGGAUUAGCUAGUAGGUGGGGUAACGGCUCACCUAGGCGACGAUCCCUAGCUGGUCUGAGAGGAUGACCAGCCACACUGGAACUGAGACACGGUCCAGACUCCUACGGGAGGCAGCAGUGGGGAAUAUUGCACAAUGGGCGCAAGCCUGAUGCAGCCAUGCCGCGUGUAUGAAGAAGGCCUUCGGGUUGUAAAGUACUUUCAGCGGGGAGGAAGGUGUUGUGGUUAAUAACCNCAGCAAUUGACGUUACCCGCAGAAGAAGCACCGGCUAACUCCGUGCCAGCAGCCGCGGUAAUACGGAGGGUGCAAGCGUUAAUCGGAAUUACUGGGCGUAAAGCGCACGCAGGCGGUCUGUCAAGUCGGAUGUGAAAUCCCCGGGCUCAACCUGGGAACUGCAUUCGAAACUGGCAGGCUAGAGUCUUGUAGAGGGGGGUAGAAUUCCAGGUGUAGCGGUGAAAUGCGUAGAGAUCUGGAGGAAUACCGGUGGCGAAGGCGGCCCCCUGGACAAAGACUGACGCUCAGGUGCGAAAGCGUGGGGAGCAAACAGGAUUAGAUACCCUGGUAGUCCACGCCGUAAACGAUGUCGAUUUGGAGGUUGUGCCCUUGAGGCGUGGCUUCCGGAGCUAACGCGUUAAAUCGACCGCCUGGGGAGUACGGCCGCAAGGUUAAAACUCAAAUGAAUUGACGGGGGCCCGCACAAGCGGUGGAGCAUGUGGUUUAAUUCGAUGCAACGCGAAGAACCUUACCUGGUCUUGACAUCCACAGAACUUUCCAGAGAUGGAUUGGUGCCUUCGGGAACUGUGAGACAGGUGCUGCAUGGCUGUCGUCAGCUCGUGUUGUGAAAUGUUGGGUUAAGUCCCGCAACGAGCGCAACCCUUAUCCUUUGUUGCCAGCGGUUAGGCCGGGAACUCAAAGGAGACUGCCAGUGAUAAACUGGAGGAAGGUGGGGAUGACGUCAAGUCAUCAUGGCCCUUACGACCAGGGCUACACACGUGCUACAAUGGCGCAUACAAAGAGAAGCGACCUCGCGAGAGCAAGCGGACCUCAUAAAGUGCGUCGUAGUCCGGAUUGGAGUCUGCAACUCGACUCCAUGAAGUCGGAAUCGCUAGUAAUCGUAGAUCAGAAUGCUACGGUGAAUACGUUCCCGGGCCUUGUACACACCGCCCGUCACACCAUGGGAGUGGGUUGCAAAAGAAGUAGGUAGCUUAACCUUCGGGAGGGCGCUUACCACUUUGUGAUUCAUGACUGGGGUGAAGUCGUAACAAGGUAACCGUAGGGGAACCC
Molecule: ribosomal RNA, 1492 nt
Filed under: Enterobacter sp. D1SM198
Lineage: Bacteria; Pseudomonadati; Pseudomonadota; Gammaproteobacteria; Enterobacterales; Enterobacteriaceae
Description: bacterial SSU rRNA
Rfam family: Bacterial small subunit ribosomal RNA
Source: RNAcentral